UUAUUAUUAUUAUUAUUAUUAGUAGUAGACGACCCCACCUGUCUAUCAAUUCUUUUCCCUUAAUGCUUUGCAAGGUUUUAAAGUGAGACAGCUGUAAAAUUGUUCUAAUUAUAUAGUCCAAAUUCAAGGAAGUCCAAUGGAUGCGCAUUUCUUAGAUGCUUCUGGUCCCCAGCAAAAAUUGACUCUGAUCUGAUUCUCCACCAUUUCUUAACCUGCAAAUCACCAAACAAAUACGUUAGAGCUCAAGCCACCAAUCAACCAUACAAGUUUUUACCACAUAAA
Molecule: unclassified non-coding RNA, 282 nt
Filed under: Hevea brasiliensis (rubber tree)
Lineage: Eukaryota; Viridiplantae; Streptophyta; Magnoliopsida; Malpighiales; Euphorbiaceae
Source: RNAcentral